GCAAGAGUGGCCGAAAUUAGGCAAAAGACUGUAAAUCUUUUAAUGGUCAAAGCCCAUUGCAA
Molecule: transfer RNA, 62 nt
Filed under: Unio pictorum (painter's mussel)
Lineage: Eukaryota; Metazoa; Mollusca; Bivalvia; Unionida; Unionidae
Description: tRNA-Tyr
Source: RNAcentral